GAUGAACGCUGGCGGCGUGCCUAAUACAUGCAAGUCGAGCGAACAGACGAGGAGCUUGCUCCUCUGACGUUAGCGGCGGACGGGUGAGUAACACGUGGAUAACCUACCUAUAAGACUGGGAUAACUUCGGGAAACCGGAGCUAAUACCGGAUAAUAUAUUGAACCGCAUGGUUCAAUAGUGAAAGACGGUUUUGCUGUCACUUAUAGAUGGAUCCGCGCCGCAUUAGCUAGUUGGUAAGGUAACGGCUUACCAAGGCAACGAUGCGUAGCCGACCUGAGAGGGUGAUCGGCCACACUGGAACUGAGACACGGUCCAGACUCCUACGGGAGGCAGCAGUAGGGAAUCUUCCGCAAUGGGCGAAAGCCUGACGGAGCAACGCCGCGUGAGUGAUGAAGGUCUUCGGUUCGUAAAACUCUGUUAUUAGGGAAGAACAAAUGUGUAAGUAACUAUGCACGUCUUGACGGUACCUAAUCAGAAAGCCACGGCUAACUACGUG
RNAcentral lists this ribosomal RNA (497 nucleotides) under uncultured bacterium. Its description in RNAcentral is "partial 16S ribosomal RNA". It matches the Rfam family "Bacterial small subunit ribosomal RNA", at positions 28 to 507 of the family's 1533-position model. The record is from RNAcentral.